Molecule: ribosomal RNA, 253 nt
Filed under: uncultured bacterium
Lineage: Bacteria
Description: partial 16S ribosomal RNA
Rfam family: Bacterial small subunit ribosomal RNA
Source: RNAcentral
CACGUGAGUGACAAGCGUUGUCCGGAAUUACUGGGCGUAAAGAGCACGUAGGCGGUUUGGUAAGCGGAGGGUGAAAUUCCAGGGCUCAACUCUGGAACUGCUCUCCGAACUGCCAGGCUAGAGUACGGGAGAGGGCAGUGGAAUUCCUGGUGUAGCGGUGGAAUGCGUAUAUAUCAGGAGGAACACCGGUGGCGAAGGCUGCUGCCUGGAACGUUACUGACGCUGAGGUGCGAAAGCUAGGGGAGCGAACGGG